Molecule: ribosomal RNA, 460 nt
Filed under: uncultured bacterium
Lineage: Bacteria
Description: partial 16S ribosomal RNA
Rfam family: Bacterial small subunit ribosomal RNA
Source: RNAcentral
CCUACGGGUGGCAGCAGUGAGGAAUAUUGGUCAAUGGACGAGAGUCUGAACCAGCCAAGUAGCGUGAAGGAUGACUGCCCUAUGGGUUGUAAACUUCUUUUAUAUGGGAAUAAAAUGUUCCACGUGUGGGAUUUUGUAUGUACCAUAUGAAUAAGGAUAGGCUAACUCCGUGCCAGCAGCCGCGGUAAUACGGAGGAUCCGAGCGUUAUCCGGAUUUAUUGGGUUUAAAGGGAGCGUAGGUGGAUUGUUAAGUCAGUUGUGAAAGUUUGCGGCUCAACCGUAAAAUUGCAUUUGAAACUGGCAGUCUUGAGUACAGUAGAGGUGGGAGGAAUUCGUGGUGUAGCGGUGAAAUGCGUAGAUAUCACGAAGAACUCCGAUUGCGAAGGCAGUUCACUGGACUGCAACUGACACUGAGGCUCGAAAGUGUGGGUAUCAAACAGGAUUAGAUACCCGUGUAGUC